This 537-nucleotide ribosomal RNA is filed under the name uncultured delta proteobacterium. RNAcentral's name for it is "bacterial SSU rRNA". It matches the Rfam family "Bacterial small subunit ribosomal RNA", at positions 12 to 523 of the family's 1533-position model. Lineage: Bacteria; Deltaproteobacteria. The record is from RNAcentral.
UUUGAUCCUGGCUCAGAAUGAACGACUGGCGGCGUGGCUUAACACAUGCAAGUCGAACGAGAAAGGGGGAUUCGUCCCCCGAGUAAAGUGGCGCACGGGUGAGUAACGCGUAGGUAACCUGCCCAUGUGUUCGGGAUAACACUUCGAAAGGGGUGCUAAUACCGGAUGCGAUCGGAGGCCGAGAGGUUUCCGAUGAAAGUCUGCCACUCUAUAGAAGCAGACGCACAUGGAGGGGCCUGCGUCCUAUCAGCUAGUUGGUGGGGUAACGGCCUACCAAGGCGACGACGGGUAGCUGGUCUGAGAGGAUGAUCAGCCACACUGGCACUGGAACACGGGCCAGACUCCUACGGGAGGCAGCAGUGAGGAAUUUUGCGCAAUGGCCGCAAGGCUGACGCAGCAACGCCGCGUGGGUGAUGAAGGCCUUCGGGUCGUAAAGCCCUGUCAGGUGGGAAGAACAGCAUUUUCUCGAAUAGGGGGGAUGUUUGACGGUACCACCAGAGGAAGCACCGGCUAACUCCGUGCCAGCAGCCGCGGUAA